UCGUGGUUUGAGCUGUCAGCUUGAUUGCGGUGACCGGGCGAGACCGCAGCCUGCUAAAUAGAACAGCUUGCUCCGGCAGGCUGCCGUCUUCUUAGAGGGACUUUUGGCUUUGAGCCAAAGGAAGUAUGCGGCAAUAACA
Molecule: ribosomal RNA, 139 nt
Filed under: uncultured eukaryote
Lineage: Eukaryota
Description: partial 18S ribosomal RNA
Rfam family: Eukaryotic small subunit ribosomal RNA
Source: RNAcentral